UGAGAAGUUUACCAUUUGAAAAAUAUGCAUAAAUGUUCCAGUUAAUCGAUUAACAUAGUAACUUAAUCGAUUAACUCAAUUGCUUUUCCUUUAAAUAUGUGUUUUCUGUUUUAACUGAAUUAUGUGUCAUUCCGUUGUCCUGAUAGAGCUCUAUGCACGCACUCCAAAAGGGAAUCGAGUUAAAAUUCCUAAAUCGAGACGUGGCGGUUGACGAUAAUGUUAGGGAGUCUGGAGACGUCGCUGGGGCCCCGGAAAGAGUUAUCUUUUCUGUUUAACAGCCUGCCCACCCUGGAAACAGCUCAGCCGGAGGUAGGGUACAGCGGCUGGAAGAGCACCGCACGUUGCAUAGUGUUCGGUGCGCCCUCGGUGGCCCUUGAAAAUCUGGAGGACCGAGUGCCUCCCACGCCCGUACGUACUCAUACUGCAUCAGGUCUCCAAGAUGAACAACCUCU
This is a ribosomal RNA of Lupinus angustifolius (narrow-leaved blue lupine), 452 nucleotides long. It matches the Rfam family "Eukaryotic large subunit ribosomal RNA", at positions 1498 to 1884 of the family's 3401-position model. The record is from Rfam. NCBI's taxonomy places the organism in Eukaryota, Viridiplantae, Streptophyta, Magnoliopsida, Fabales, Fabaceae.